GAGAGCUUGCUCUGUAGCGGUUUCCUUCAGAGCAGGUGGUGACUGCUCCUUGGGGAGCAAGGAGGAGGCCCAGGCCGCG
Molecule: microRNA precursor, 79 nt
Filed under: Ovis aries (sheep)
Lineage: Eukaryota; Metazoa; Chordata; Mammalia; Artiodactyla; Bovidae
Description: miRNA (ENSOARG00000023290.1)
Source: RNAcentral